GAUCAUGGCUCAGAGCGAACGCUAGCGGCAAGCUUAAUACAUGCAAGUCGCACGAGACACUUCGGUGUCUAGUGGCGCACGGGUGAGUAACACGUAGGUUACGUACCUCGAGGUGGGGAAUAACUCAGGGAAACCUGAGCUAAUACCGCGUAUGUCCUUCGGGAUGAAAGUCGAAAGGCGCCCUGAGAUCGGCCUGCGGCCCAUUAUCUAAUCCUAGUUGGUAGGGUAACGGCCUACCAAGGGUACGAUGGGUAGCUGGUCUGAGAGGAUGAUCAGCCACACUGGGACUGAGACACGGCCCAGACUCCUACGGGAGGCAGCAGUGGGGAAUAUUGCGCAAUGGGGGAAACCCUGACGCAGCUAUGCCGCGUGGGUGAUGAAGGCCUUCGGGUCGUAAAGCCCUGUCGGAGGGAACGAAGGCGCAAGCUUGACGGUACCCUCCAAGGAAGCACCGGCUAACCUCGUG
Molecule: ribosomal RNA, 466 nt
Filed under: uncultured bacterium
Lineage: Bacteria
Description: bacterial SSU rRNA
Rfam family: Bacterial small subunit ribosomal RNA
Source: RNAcentral